This 214-nucleotide ribosomal RNA is filed under the name uncultured bacterium. RNAcentral describes it as "partial 16S ribosomal RNA". It matches the Rfam family "Bacterial small subunit ribosomal RNA", at positions 118 to 332 of the family's 1533-position model. The record is from RNAcentral.
UGAGUAACCUGCCCUUCGCUCUGGGAUAACUCCGGGAAACCGGGGCUAAUACUGGAUAUGACUCGAACAGGCAUCUGUUUCGGGUGGAAAGAUUUAUUGGUGGAGGAUGGACUCGCGGCCUAUCAGCUUGUUGGUGAGGUAAUGGCUCACCAAGGCGACGACGGGUAGCCGGCCUGAGAGGGCGAUCGGCCACACUGGGACUGAGACACGGCCC